GGUAACGCUAGACGAGGCCGGCGCGGCGGCGGCGCCUGCGCGCUGGCGGCCGGCCGGCUGAUGGGCGGUGCGCCGGCCCGGCUCGGCAGUCGGCUCCCUCGGAUUGAGUGCGUCGGUUCCGGACAGGUCCGCAGAUAACUCCGAGCAGCCAACUCCCUCACAGCCGUCACCAUGGAGGCCAUCAAGAAGAAGAUGCAGGCGAUGAAGCUGGAGAAGGACAACGCGAUGGAUCGCGCUGACCUUCUCGAGCAGCAGGCCAAGGACGCCAACCUGCGCGCCGAGAAGACCGAGGAGGAGCUGCGCGCUCUGCAGAAGAAGCUGCAGCAGACGGACAACGAGCUGGACACGGUGCAGGAGGCGCUCACCACCGCCAACCACAAGCUGGAGGAGAAGGACAAGGCUCUGGCCACGGCUGAGGGCGAGGUGUCGGCUCUGGGCCGCCGCAUCCAGCUGCUGGAGGAGGACCUGGAGCGCUCCGAGGAGCGGCUCGCCACCGCCACCACCAAGCUGGCCGAGGCCUCCCACUCGGCCGACGAGUCCGAGCGGCAGCGCAAGGCUCUAGAGAACCGGACCAACACUGAGGAGGACCGCGUGGCCAUCCUGGAGGCGCAGCUCGCCCAGGCCAAGCUGAUUGCCGAGGAGGCCGACAAAAAAUACGAGGAGGUGGCGCGCAAGGUGGUCAUGCUGGAGAACGACCUGGAACGCGCCGAGGAGCGGGCUGAGACGGGCGAGGCUAAGAUCGUGGAGCUGGAGGAGGAGCUGCGUGUCGUCGGCAACAACCUCAAGUCGCUCGAGGUCUCGGAGGAGAAGGCCCGGGAACGUGAGGAGGAGUACGAGAAACAGAUCACCCUGUACACCGGCCGGCUGAAGCAGGUACUGCGCGCCCGCAGCGGCCGGCCCGGCUCGACCCACCGCCUCCCUCACUAACCCCCGCAGCCCGCCCGCCGGCCGACCGCAGAGACGGCCGACCGGCCCCCCUAACCCCCGAGUGACCUAACCGUGUGCCGUGACCGGCUAACUGGCCUUGUGAGUGUGGUGCGGUGCCGGCCGACUAACCCGCCGCGGCCCGCGCCGCCGCCUGUCUGUCUGUCUGUAGGCCUCCGAGCGCGAGGCGGUGUUCGAGGAGCGUCUCAAGGACCACGCGGCACGGUGCAGAACGGUUAGUUCACCGGCGACUGGACGUGGUGUCAGGCCGACACUGCGGAGUCAGUUUUAGUCGUGUCUCAGGGAGUCUGAAAUUUCGUUGGUUUAUGGGAACUCAGAGGUGAACAGAGCUCGGCCAUGUGAAAAGAACAGGCCGAAGAGAUUCAGAGGAUUACGAACAAUAAGUCAGGGAAAUGAUAAAUUGGGUGAGUGCUGAUAUCUUUCUUUUGUACCGGUAGUUUUAUAGCUAUAAGUUGGCGUUUAUUUUAUAUGACACUUACAGUCAGUCAGGUCCUGGCCGGUGCAGGAUUUUGGGAACACCAAACAAUUUUUACGAAUUUUCCUCGGUGGAGUCUGUUUGAUGUCAAACAUUUCUUUUUUUAAAUCUGUUUAAUGGUAUUUUACAAAAAGACUGUAGGCUGGGACGCCAGGUCCGUUGUCUUCAGGUAGGUGUUGGUUGCGUUUGACGCUGGGGACGUAUCUCUCCCCGGUACACGUGCUCACACAUUGCUUGUAAGCUGAUCUACCGAUGCUGCGGUUCAUCUGCGUUUUAAUGCCUUUUCUCGUUGCCUAAAUUCCACAAUUAUAGAAUAGCAUCGAUAAAUGCUAACAGUGUGGUGGCCAUAACCGAAAUUAUCUCGGAUCUCUUUUAAGCUGCUUUGACAAGCAAUAAUUCUGAUUUAUUGGCUCUCGUAUGCCAAUGUGCUGUCACAGCCGUGUGAUGCGUAGCGUAACGUAAAAGACGAGUUGUUUCCCAGGGUUCCGUAGUUGGGUUUGUCUCUGUGGUGUGUUCUCCCGGGCCCCGCCGCGCUGUGCCCCGCUGACCCGGCUCGGUCGCCCCGCCCCUCCGUGCGCCCGCAGGCUGAGGCUCGCGCUGAGUUCGCCGAGCGGUCGGUGCAGAAGCUGCAGAAGGAGGUCGACAGACUGGAAGUGGCGCUGGUCGAGGCGCGCCACCAGCAGAAGCUGCUCGAGGACGAGAUGGACACGACGCUGAAGGACAUUCAGAACUUGUGAGCGCGCUGCCUAGCAGUGAGCGUGGGACCCGUGGUGGCCGGCCGCCGGGCAGACGAGCUCGUCAACGAGAAGGAGAAGUACAAGGGGAUCGCCGACGAGAUGGACACGGCGUUCGCCGAACUCUCCGGCUACUAAGCAGUCAGUGCGAGCAGCACGGAGCGCCCGCCGCCGGCGGGCCGCGUCACCAGGGCGGGGACGGACCGGGACCGGGCGCCGCCACCGCCACGCGACCCACUGACUGAUGAUGCUGACCGGCGGCGCCCGCCGCCCGCGCCGCCCCCGCCCGCCGGCGACCGGCCGCCGCCGCCGCCGCCGAGUAACUGUCCGUGGCACCGCGGACGCCCGGCCGUGCCGCCGCCGCCGCCGCAGCUUCUCUGUCGCGCUGUCGCCGCCGUCACCAGAGCGCCGCCCAAAUUCCCCCUCCCUCUUCUCUCAAUCCCGUCUAUUGUAUGUAGCCUGUUCUCUUUUGUAAUUUUUACUAUUGUAUUUGUUAGCUUGUCAGAAGAAUAUGGCUAUAUUAUUAUGUAUGGGUUCGAAUGAUGGAUAGGUGCGUGUCUUGCGUCAGCGUCAUUGAUUUUCGGCUAGAUCACGCGGUGACAAAAUGAAAUUGUGAUUAUAUCGCAAGUUGUACACAGCUGAACGAAAUGACUUAAAAAAUCUAACAAUUUUUA
This is an RNA transcript of Amphibalanus amphitrite, 2828 nucleotides long. It is a transcript of the gene named tropomyosin, with no coding region annotated. The transcript is spliced from 10 exons. Lineage: Eukaryota; Metazoa; Arthropoda; Thecostraca; Balanomorpha; Balanidae. The record is from RefSeq and is a predicted model, not a curated record.